This 538-nucleotide ribosomal RNA is filed under the name Termitomyces medius f. ochraceus. Its description in RNAcentral is "eukaryotic LSU rRNA". It matches the Rfam family "Eukaryotic large subunit ribosomal RNA", at positions 52 to 589 of the family's 3401-position model. Lineage: Eukaryota; Fungi; Basidiomycota; Agaricomycetes; Agaricales; Lyophyllaceae. The record is from RNAcentral.
GGAGGAAAAGAAACUAACAAGGAUUCCCCUAGUAACUGCGAGUGAAGCGGGAAAAGCUCAAAUUUAAAAUCUGGUAGUCUUUGGCUGCCCGAGUUGUAAUCUAGAGAAGCAUUAUCCGCGCUGGACCGUGUACAAGUGUCCUGGAAUGGACCAUCAUAGAGGGUGAGAAUCCCGUCUUUGACACGGACUACCAGGGCUUUGUGAUGUGCUCUCAAAGAGUCGAGUUGUUUGGGAAUGCAGCUCUAAAUGGGUGGUAAAUUCCAUCUAAAGCUAAAUAUUGGCGAGAGACCGAUAGCGAACAAGUACCGUGAGGGAAAGAUGAAAAGAACUUUGGAAAGAGAGUUAAACAGUACGUGAAAUUGCUGAAAGGGAAACGCUUGAAGUCAGUCGCGUUGGCUGGGGAUCAACCUUGCUUCUUGCUUGGCUUACUUCCCAGUUGACGGGUCAGCAUCAGUUUUGACCGGUGGAUAAAGGUCAGGGGAAUGUGGCACCCUCGGGUGUGUUAUAGCCUCUGGUCAUAUACAUUGGUUGGGACUGA